GUGUCAGCAGCCGCGGUAAUACGAAGGGUGCAAGCGUUAAUCGGAAUUACUGGGCGUAAAGCGUGCGUAGAUGGCUGAUUAAGUCGGAUGUGAAAGCCCCGGGCUCAACCUGGGAAUGGCAUCCGAUACUGGUUGGCUAGAGUGCGGUAGAGGAGAGCGGAAUUCCCGGUGUAGCGGUGAAAUGCGUAGAGAUCGGGAGGAACAUCCGUGGCGAAGGCGGCUCUCUGGACCAGCACUGACGUUGAGGCACGAAAGCGUGGGGAGCAAACAGGAUUAGAUACCCCCGUAGUCC
RNAcentral lists this ribosomal RNA (292 nucleotides) under uncultured bacterium. Its description in RNAcentral is "partial 16S ribosomal RNA". It matches the Rfam family "Bacterial small subunit ribosomal RNA", at positions 505 to 796 of the family's 1533-position model. The record is from RNAcentral.